GACGAACGCUGGCGGCGUGCCUAAUACAUGCAAGUUGAGCGAUGAAGAUUGGUGCUUGCACCAAUUUGAAGAGCAGCGAACGGGUGAGUAACGCGUGGGGAAUCUGCCUUUGAGCGGGGGACAACAUUUGGAAACGAAUGCUAAUACCGCAUAACAACUUUAAACAUAAGUUUUAAGUUUGAAAGAUGCAAUUGCAUCACUCAAAGAUGAUCCCGCGUUGUAUUAGCUAGUUGGUGAGGUAAAGGCUCACCAAGGCGAUGAUACAUAGCCGACCUGAGAGGGUGAUCGGCCACAUUGGGACUGAGACACGGCCCAAACUCCUACGGGAGGCAGCAGUAGGGAAUCUUCGGCAACAGACGAAAGUCUGACCGAGCAACGCCGCGUGAGUGAAGAAGGUUUUCGGAUCGUAAAACUCUGUUGGUAGAGAAGAACGUUGGUGAGAGUGGAAAGCUCAUCAAGUGACGGUAACUACCCAGAAAGGGACGGCUAACUACGUG
Molecule: ribosomal RNA, 497 nt
Filed under: uncultured bacterium
Lineage: Bacteria
Description: partial 16S ribosomal RNA
Rfam family: Bacterial small subunit ribosomal RNA
Source: RNAcentral